UCUGCGUUGUGGCCAAAGUCUCGGUUGCUUUAGCGCCAUCCUGUGGUAUCCUGAUGUCAAUGAAUGAUGUUGAUGUGGGGAGGAGCGUUAUUUCCUUAGACCAUCGUCCAGUCUCCUUAAAAAAAAUAUAUCCAGUCAUACCUCGGUUUUCGAGCAUAAUCCGUUGCAGAAGGCUUUUCGAAAAGCAAUUUGUUUGAAAUCCGAAAAUAUUUUAUGAGCCCGUGAUUUGGGGCUAAUACACUUUGCAGAAAUAACAUGAAAACAGUCAGAUUUGCAUAAAUCACGAGGAAGCGUCACUUCCUCGUGUAAGGAUGCCGAAAGGGGUCAAGAGAGUGAAAAACAGUUUUCGGUCAUAAUCAGACGUGUAAAAAUCUCAGCGUUUCUGGUCGAAAACCGAUUUGGUCGAGAACAGAGACGUUCGAAAACCGAGGUUUGACUGGAUAUGUGUUUUGAGAACCGGCAAGGAACUAUGUUGAAGUGUGGGGUGGCAGCUUCAUUUGAUAAAAAGUCGCUCUCUUAUGCCGGUUUUGCAAACACUUGCCGCUGUUAGCAAAAUAAAGUUUUGGCAGUUGAACAAUGUUCGAAAAGUGUUUGUGAACGUGUUAGCAAGCUACAUCGGCACGCCUUCGUAGCUCGGUGAGAAACAGGCUUCAUGCAACAACAGAAUUUGCCGGAAGCCAAAGGGAAGUCGGAGAAGAUAUGGAUGAAGAAGAAGAAGGAGUAGAAUUCGCGCCCCCCCCCCCCCCCCCCCAACUUGAGAGUAAGACGUCGGCGUCGACCAUUAAAAGAGAACAGAAGAAGAAACCGCAAUAAAGCAACCAGGAAUGUAUCUUUGGCCACAAUGUGACUUGGGAUUCGAGUUAUGUCGGAAAGCCGUUUUAAACACAAAAGAAAAAGUUGUCCAUGGUUAGAGUUUGACAUUUUGUCCAACCGGAACUCAUUGGCUGCCAUCAAGAUGCCCGCGCACCACCUUGUGUGUGUUUGGGGAGGCAGAGCAUUAAAUUCUGAAUGGAGCACACACACCCGUGAUUUAAGGAACGGGGAUUUGGGUACGAAUCCGAGCUCUAUUGCCAUUUUGGAAAAAAAAAACCCCAGAUGUGAUUUAUAACUCGAGACCACUUUUUAUGUUUUGUUUUUCCUUCUUCAUGAUGCAUUUUUGGACUGGUGAAAAAUACGGUCGGCCAACUUUCACACUCGCGCUCACACCUGUGGACAAUGUCAAGUCUUCCAUCAGCCUCACAUGUCUGCAUUUUGCCAGGAGAGGCGGGAUUGGUCGCCGGCAAAUGACAGGAAGCUUUGUAUCCUGUGUUUCUGUGUGUGUGUGUGUGUGUGUGUGCGUGCGCAUAAGUCACAUGGCGAGCUGAGGGCGACAGGGGGUAACCAUGUAGGUCACGGCGGCCGAUCCGCCACUAUACAUAAUUUAACUUGUGAGAUGGGCGGGGGGCGGGGGGGGGGUGACUCAAUAAUAAAUGGGAUCAGGGAGGAAGCAAGAUUUACAUUGCAUGGGGGAAGGUGGCGAGGGGUGGAGGGGGGGGGGGUCACAGGGGUUUGGGGGGGUCUCUUCUGUUAACUUGUUCACAUCAUGAUCUCCCGGCGAGGUGUCUGGGUUGUGACAGCACCGUCGGAGGCGACCGCAGCAAAGUGACCAAAGCGGUCAGCGUCAAAGCGAGGCACAACAAAAGCCCGACGACGCGGCCGACGGGAAACGCCGCGCGGGGUUCAUCCCAUGAAUAUCAUUUUUGUUUUUGCCGUUUCUUAGGGCUCCUCCGUAGCUCGUUACGCGGAUAAAGUCAUGUGUGCGCCCUCUGAAAAAGAACAAACAUGCCAAGAGCGAUCAAAAAAACAAACAAACUGAGGUGUCAUAUAAAACUCCGGUUUCCUCAUUUAAAAAAAAAAAAACACGUAUGGCAGGUUAAUGGAGCACUCGAAAUUGUCCCGAGGUGUGAUUGUGAACACGAAUGGUUGUUCGUCUCUGUGUGCCCUGCGAUUGGCUGGCAACCGGUUCAGGGUGUCAGAAUUAUGAUAUGAGGUUCUAAUUAUGGGCGGCCCAGUAGGCCAGUGGUUAGCACGUCGGCUUCUCAGUGCAGAGGUACCGGGUUCGAUUCCAGCUCUGGAACUCCCUGUGUGGGGUUUGCAUGUUCUCCCCGGGCCUGCGUGGGUUUUCUCCGGGUGCUCCGGUUUCCCCCCACAUUCCAAAAAACAUGCAUGGCAGGCUGAUUGGACGCUCUAAAUUGUCCCUAGGUGUGAGUGUGAGCAUGGAUGGUUGUUCGACUCUGUGUGCCCUGCGAUUGGCUGGCAACUGAUUCAGGGUGUCACCCGUCUACUGCCCGAAGACGGCUGGGAUAGGCUCCAGCGCCCCCCGCUGCCCUAGUGAGGAUUAAGCGGUUCGGAAAAUGGAUGGAUGGAUGGAUGGAGGGUUCUAAUUAUUGACCGGUCCGCCUCUCACCUUUAAUUUGACAUCUGAUGGAGGUACAGGCUAAAGUUAAGCGCUUAAUUGUGCCAUUUUAUGAUGGGCUUUUGUGAUAUUUCGGAGUGGCAAUAGCAUAACUGCAUUUUGUCACACUGGGAGCCGUUUCUAAUAUUUUGGGGAGCAAAUGACACUCCCUAUUU
Molecule: long non-coding RNA, 2610 nt
Organism: Hippocampus zosterae (dwarf seahorse)
Lineage: Eukaryota; Metazoa; Chordata; Actinopteri; Syngnathiformes; Syngnathidae
Exons: 2
Source: RefSeq, a predicted model, not a curated record